RNAcentral lists this ribosomal RNA (369 nucleotides) under Triticum aestivum (bread wheat). RNAcentral describes it as "partial small subunit ribosomal RNA". The record is from RNAcentral. Lineage: Eukaryota; Viridiplantae; Streptophyta; Magnoliopsida; Poales; Poaceae.
AUGUAUGACUUUGAUCCGGUGUAUGAACGGACCACCACUGCUCAACUUCAAUCAGAGUUGUAUGAUUUAAAGACUCGCCUGGAGCUGCAGGAAACUGAGACUCGGAGGGCGAACUCAAAGUUUGAAUUCAGCGUGUCUGAAAUAGAAAAACUGAAAGCCGGUUUUGAAACUAAGAAAAACGCCUGGGCUGCAGAAAAGAUUGCCUUGACCCAACGAGCUGAAAAUGCAGAGGCGGCUCUUGAAGAGGUGACAACUGAAUUGUCCGGCUUAAAAUGCCAUGUGUCUCAAAUGGUCUCAGCUAUCUUUGGUAAGUCGCCUUAUGACUGUCAAAUAUUGAAUACCCUUCUUGAUCAUAUGAACUUCCUUUAA